This 253-nucleotide ribosomal RNA is filed under the name uncultured bacterium. RNAcentral's name for it is "partial 16S ribosomal RNA". It matches the Rfam family "Bacterial small subunit ribosomal RNA", at positions 524 to 776 of the family's 1533-position model. The record is from RNAcentral.
UACGGAGGGAUCUAGCGUUAUUCGGAAUAACUGGGCGUAAAGCGAGCGUAGGCGGAUUUGUAAGUUGGAGGUGAAAUCCCAGGGCUUAACCCUGGAACUGCCUUCAAAACUACAUUUCUUGAGUUUGGUAGAGGAGAGUGGAAUUCCUAGUGUAGAGGUGAAAUUCGUAGAUAUUAGGAGGAACACCAGUGGCGAAGGCGACUCUCUGGGCCAAUACUGACGCUGAGGUUCGAAAGCGUGGGGAGCAAACGGG